RNAcentral lists this ribosomal RNA (459 nucleotides) under uncultured bacterium. Its description in RNAcentral is "partial 16S ribosomal RNA". It matches the Rfam family "Bacterial small subunit ribosomal RNA", at positions 338 to 795 of the family's 1533-position model. The record is from RNAcentral.
CCUACGUGAGGCAGCAGUGAGGAAUAUUUGUCAAUGGCCGUAAGGCUGAACCAGCCAAGUAGCGUGAGGGAAGACUUCCCUAUGGGUUGUACACCUCUUUUAUGCGGUGAUAAAGGUGUCCACGUGUGGAUGUUUGCAUGUACCGCAUGAAUAAGGACCGGCUAAUUCCGUGCCAGCAGCCGCGGUAAUACGGAGGAUGCGAGUGUUAUCCGGAUUUAUUGGGUUUAAAGGGUGGGCAGGCGGAGGUGCAAGUCAGCGGUCAAAUUGCGGGGCUCAACCCCGUACUGCCGUUGAAACUGGAUGCCUUGAGUGCGCGAGAAGUAUGCGGAAUGCGUGGUGUAGCGGUGAAAUGCAUAGAUAUCACGCAGAACUCCGAUUGCGAAGGCAGCAUACCGGCGCGCAACUGACGCUGAUGCACGAAAGCGUGGGUAUCGAACAGGAUUAGAUACCCGAGUAGUC